Molecule: ribosomal RNA, 626 nt
Filed under: Cercomonas ambigua
Lineage: Eukaryota; Cercozoa; Cercomonadida; Cercomonadidae
Description: eukaryotic LSU rRNA
Rfam family: Eukaryotic large subunit ribosomal RNA (bases 333-626)
Source: RNAcentral
GCGCUUUCUGGAUAGGCCAGGAAGCAUGCCUCUUUGAGUAUCGUUUUCACCUCAGCUCGAUGGCUCUUUUGUUUGUUUACUCAAUCAAGAGGUCCAUAUCGGAUAAUGAGUCUUUAUAUAUCUUGUCUUAACGGAUAAGUUACUUUAAAUAAAGUUUAAGCUCAUAUACAAUACCAAUGCUAUAUUAUAUAGUUCGGGUAUUUGAGAAUGUGGAUAAUUUAUUAUUUUAACACUCUCUUAUAUCCUUAUGCUAUACUAUGUAGUUUUUGUAUAUGCUUAAAUGUGGAAAUUAAUAACAAAACAAAAGCAUUUAAUUAUGUUUUUCGAAAGUAAGAUCUCAAAUGAAGUAAGACUACCCGCUGAACUUAAGCAUAUUAUUAAGCGGAGGAAAAGAAACUAACAAGGAUGCCCUCAGUAACGGCGAGUGAAGCGGGCAAAGCUCAACCUGAAAAUCAAAUAUCCAAGCGGGUGUUUGAAUUGUGGGCUAUAGAUGCAUGAUCAGUGUGUGACCUAAGCAUAAAUCUUUUGAAACAAGGUAUCAUAGAGGGUGAGAAUCCCGUCUUUGGCUUAGAGUUUUCGCCACGUACGAUCGGCAGUCAGAGAGUCGAGUUGUUUGGGAUUGCAGC